This 73-nucleotide transfer RNA is filed under the name Peptococcaceae bacterium. Its description in RNAcentral is "tRNA-Thr". It matches the Rfam family "tRNA". Rfam says of the family: Transfer RNA (tRNA) molecules are approximately 80 nucleotides in length. Their secondary structure includes four short double-helical elements and three loops (D, anti-codon, and T loops). The record is from RNAcentral. RNAcentral also lists the same sequence under 1 other name. Lineage: Bacteria; Bacillati; Bacillota; Clostridia; Eubacteriales; Peptococcaceae.
GCCGGUAUGGCGCAAUUGGUAGCGCAACUGUUUUGUACUCAGUUGGUUACGGGUUCGAAUCCUGUUACCGGCU